This 465-nucleotide ribosomal RNA is filed under the name Vreelandella stevensii. RNAcentral describes it as "partial 16S ribosomal RNA". It matches the Rfam family "Bacterial small subunit ribosomal RNA", at positions 338 to 795 of the family's 1533-position model. The record is from RNAcentral. Lineage: Bacteria; Pseudomonadati; Pseudomonadota; Gammaproteobacteria; Oceanospirillales; Halomonadaceae.
CCUACGGGAGGCUGCAGUGGGGAAUAUUGGACAAUGUGGGCAACCCUGAUCCAGCCAUGCCGCGUGUGUGAAGAAGGCCCUCGGGUUGUAAAGCACUUUCAGUGAGGAAGAACGCCUGGUGGUUAAUACCCAUCAGGAAAGACAUCACUCACAGAAGAAUCACCGGCUAACUCCGUGCCAGCAGCCGCGGUAAUACGGAGGGUGCGAGCGUUAAUCGGAAUUACUGGGCGUAAAGCGCGCGUAGGUGGCUUGAUAAGCCGGUUGUGAAAGCCCCGGGCUCAACCUGGGAACGGCAUCCGGAACUGUCAAGCUAGAGUGCAGGAGAGGAAGGUAGAAUUCCCGGUGUAGCGGUGAAAUGCGUAGAGAUCGGGAGGAAUACCAGUGGCGAAGGCGGCCUUCUGGACUGACACUGACACUGAGGUGCGAAAGCGUGGGUAGCAAACAGGAUUAGAUACCCCUGUAGUC